Molecule: ribosomal RNA, 468 nt
Filed under: Ralstonia mannitolilytica
Lineage: Bacteria; Pseudomonadati; Pseudomonadota; Betaproteobacteria; Burkholderiales; Burkholderiaceae
Description: bacterial SSU rRNA
Rfam family: Bacterial small subunit ribosomal RNA
Source: RNAcentral
UGCAAGUCGAACGGCAGCGGGGGAAAGCUUGCUUUCCUGCCGGCGAGUGGCGAACGGGUGAGUAAUACAUCGGAACGUGCCCUGUAGUGGGGGAUAACUAGUCGAAAGAUUAGCUAAUACCGCAUACGACCUGAGGGUGAAAGUGGGGGACCGCAAGGCCUCAUGCUAUAGGAGCGGCCGAUGUCUGAUUAGCUAGUUGGUGGGGUAAAGGCCUACCAAGGCGACGAUCAGUAGCUGGUCUGAGAGGACGAUCAGCCACACUGGGACUGAGACACGGCCCAGACUCCUACGGGAGGCAGCAGUGGGGAAUUUUGGACAAUGGGCGAAAGCCUGAUCCAGCAAUGCCGCGUGUGUGAAGAAGGCCUUCGGGUUGUAAAGCACUUUUGUCCGGAAAGAAAUGGCUCUGGUUAAUACCCGGAGUUGAUGACGGUACCGGAAGAAUAAGGACCGGCUAACUACGUGCCAGCA